RNAcentral lists this ribosomal RNA (925 nucleotides) under uncultured bacterium. RNAcentral describes it as "bacterial SSU rRNA". It matches the Rfam family "Bacterial small subunit ribosomal RNA", at positions 33 to 947 of the family's 1533-position model. The record is from RNAcentral.
ACGCUGGCGGCAUGCUUUACACAUGCAAGUCGGACGGCAGCACAGAGAAGCUUGCUUCUUGGGUGGCGAGUGGCGAACGGGUGAGUAAUAUAUCGGAACGUACCGAGUAAUGGGGGAUAACUAAUCGAAAGAUUAGCUAAUACCGCAUAUUCUCUGAGGAGGAAAGCAGGGGACCUUCGGGCCUUGCGUUAUUCGAGCGGCCGAUAUCUGAUUAGCUAGUUGGUGGGGUAAAGGCCUACCAAGGCGACGAUCAGUAGCGGGUCUGAGAGGAUGAUCCGCCACACUGGGACUGAGACACGGCCCAGACUCCUACGGGAGGCAGCAGUGGGGAAUUUUGGACAAUGGGCGCAAGCCUGAUCCAGCCAUGCCGCGUGUCUGAAGAAGGCCUUCGGGUUGUAAAGGACUUUUGUCAGGGAAGAAAAGGCUGUUGCUAAUAUCGACAGCUGAUGACGGUACCUGAAGAAUAAGCACCGGCUAACUACGUGCCAGCAGCCGCGGUAAUACGUAGGGUGCGAGCGUUAAUCGGAAUUACUGGGCGUAAAGCGAGCGCAGACGGUUACUUAAGCAGGAUGUGAAAUCCCCGGGCUCAACCUGGGAACUGCGUUCUGAACUGGGUGACUAGAGUGUGUCAGAGGGAGGUAGAAUUCCACGUGUAGCAGUGAAAUGCGUAGAGAUGUGGAGGAAUACCGAUGGCGAAGGCAGCCUCCUGGGAUAACACUGACGUUCAUGCUCGAAAGCGUGGGUAGCAAACAGGAUUAGAUACCCUGGUAGUCCACGCCCUAAACGAUGUCGAUUAGCUGUUGGGCAGCUUGAUUGCUUAGUAGCGUAGCUAACGCGUGAAAUUGACCGCCUGGGGAGUACGGUCGCAAGAUUAAAACUCAAAGGAAUUGACGGGGACCCGCACAAGCGGUGGAUGAUGUGGAUU